Long non-coding RNA from Triticum dicoccoides, 2308 nucleotides. RefSeq lists it as uncharacterized. The transcript is spliced from 2 exons. Lineage: Eukaryota; Viridiplantae; Streptophyta; Magnoliopsida; Poales; Poaceae. The record is from RefSeq and is a predicted model, not a curated record.
CGAACCGCAAGCACGCGAAAAAACAAUCGCCCCUCUCUCUCCACUAACCAAAUCCCAAUCCCCCCACUGCCGUACGCCCACCUCCUCCACUCCCGUGCCCUCCUCCACCUUCUCCGGUGCCGCCGCUCGGGCCUCGCCGCACCACCUCCUUCCUUCGGCGCUGCCGCUUCGUCCCCGCCACACCACCUCCUUCCUCCGGCGCCGUGUUGGCGCCCUACAUCGGCCCGACCCCCCUCCCUCCCACCUUCUUCCUCCUCCCACCUACCCUCCACCUUUCAUUGUCGGUGCCUCCCUAGCGCCCGUCCAACUCCCUCCAUUGACGGAUCCAACUCGCCACUCCCCCAUAGAGCACCUCUCGGUGAAUCCGAUGCGCGGCUCCCAACGGCCCCUUCCUUCUCGGCAAAUCCAGGCGCGCCUCCCAACAGCACCAGGCGCCUCGCGCGGCUACUGGCGCGGAUCCUGGCACGCCGCCACCAGGAGCCCCGUGCGGCUGCCGGCAUGGAUCCGGCUGCGCCACCCCAAGGCUUCUCGUGAAGCUGCCGGUGUGGAUCCAGACGCGCCGCCCGCAGAUACCCCGCGCUGCUGCUGGCGUGGGUCCUCCCCCGCCACCCCGCCACCCCGCCGUGGCCUCCCUGCAUCCCCUCCCCACCAGCAAGGUGCUCUGUUGAGGGGCGCCAAAAGUCAGGCCCUGCUCCGACCGGAGGCAUUGCAGGAGCCGCGCGCUGCCUCCCCGUGUGGCUUUCCGAGCCGUUGAUCCUCUGCGCCGACGUGAUUCACCACCCACACCAACGCCCCCCGGUGAGAGCAGCUCUUUUGACUGGGCUCCUGGCACGCGGUUCAGGCAGAGUGGAUGUUCAGUACGCCGGGGCUACCAUAGCAGAGGCACGACGUGAUUGGCCACCACCUCGCCGCGAAGACGAACCUGCCUGGACCCGUGCCGCCGCGGCCGGGCCAGCUCCCCCAUCACGCCUCUUCCCCAUCCUAGAUUUUACGGUUGAUGGGUCGCUGAUGCCUCAGGUGGCUCCUGGGCGAGAGGGCUCUCUGAAGUCCGUGCCGGCAUGCAGUUUGGUUGACCGUGGAUUGCAUUUCCCUUUGACGACUAGGAGGGUCACCUCUCGCCAUAGUGCAGCUCGGCUGGCUCUCUAUUGCAGCUCCUUCGGCUGGGUGUUCGCGGUUCUGUUUGAAAGUGUUUUGCAUAGUUUUCGGUUCAGGGCUUCUUUUGUGCAGUUCAUUGCUUUCUCUUUGAAAAUUUUGUGUAUGAUCCAGGACUCCACCUCCGCUUUCAGUCCAGAAUUGCCGCGCAGUGUAUUUGACAAAGGAGUUCACUUUGCAGAAAAAAUUGUACAUGGGAGUUCACUUCUUUGUUAUUUUGGGGGGAAUUGUUUUUUGCAAAAUUGUAAGGACAAUGGUGUAUAAUUUCUUAAAAUCGAUGCAGCUCACUAAGAACAUCUUUGUGGUGCACUUUCUACUAUCUUGCAGGUUAUUUGUUCUCUAUGGCCGUAUGUGUUGUGCACUGCACCCAUGCGUAUCGAGGAGCUGCAGUUCGGUUUCCAGUCUAGCGAGGUGCAGCGGCGGCAGUAGCUACGGGAGCAUAGCAGCAGGCGGCGGUGUGCAAAGAAGGUCGUUCGAUCCGUUGCUCGUGGCCUCCAAUUGCUCCACUGCUAGCUGCUAUCUCCACCGCUUCUGCUCCUGACUGCAGGGUCAAAUUGGGGAGACGAGGACACCCACUGCUCUAGCACCCGCAAGCUCCCGUGCAGUUUGUGCAGUGCACCAAUGAAAUUCAGAGUCUCGUUGUGUGGUGCGGAUCAUGUGUGUUGCAGAGAUUGGGCCCGGCGGUACUGCUGAUGCCCGGCACUUGAAUCCGCUAUUGUUAAUUGCUGCGGUUUCAAAUUGAUUUCUUUUGCAGGAGAGAAGCCAAGAAGCAAAUAAAGAGAAAAGAAGUGCACAACACACUCACUAAAAAGAACUUGUCGAUGAUCGUUUGCUAAUUAAAUCGUUAAUGUGUAUUAUGAAAAAGGCAAAUAGUGAAAGAAAAAGUGCACUGCACACGAGUGCAGUGCACUAGGCGUGUGUUUGCAGUGGGCAAUGCGGCAAAAGGCAGCCCAUGUGGUUCAGUUAGUUGCUGGUGGUGCUCGAGAGCUAAUUCUGCUCUGUAGAGAUAUAUGUACGACUGUAUGUGUGCCUAGAGAUUCAUUAUUUUUUGCCUUUUUGCAUCAAGAAAAUCCCCUUAUUAUUAGGGGAAUUGAUGUUCAUUGUUACGAAAAAUGUGUAACGUUCACUCUGUAAAAAAGCAUGGUCAUUAUUAUCA